UCGCAUGUCCCAAAGGAGUCCGCCAUGAACGUUCGCAAGCUGUUGACCCUGGCCGCCCUGGUCGCCGCCGCGGUGGCCGUGCCGGUCGCGAUGGCCCAGGCGCAGAGCGCCGACCCGGCCGCCUCCGGUGCUGCCGCCUACGAGGCGCAGGUCGCCAAGGAAAAGGCCGAGGCCGACGCCAAGGCCAAGCGCCGCGCCGCCGCGGCCGCCGAGCACAAGGCCGGCAAGGAUGCGGCCGCGCCGAAGAAGGAAGAGGAAGAGGAAGCGCGCAAGCCCUGAGCCUGCGCACGGUUUCCUGCACACGACGCCCCGGUCGCCCGGGGCGUCGCUUUUUUGUGGGGCGG
This 344-nucleotide small RNA is filed under the name Xanthomonas sp. 3498. RNAcentral describes it as "sRNA sX6". It matches the Rfam family "Proteobacterial sRNA sX6". Lineage: Bacteria; Pseudomonadati; Pseudomonadota; Gammaproteobacteria; Lysobacterales; Lysobacteraceae. The record is from RNAcentral.